CCUACGGGAGGCAGCAGUGGGGAAUCUUGCGCAAUGGGCGGAAGCCUGACGCAGCGACGCCGCGUGCGGGACGAAGGCCUUCGGGUCGUAAACCGCUUUCAGCAGGGACGAGGCCCUCACGGUGACGGUACCUGCCGAAGACGCCCCGGCUAACUACGUGCCAGCGGCCGCGGUAUUACGUAGGGGGCGCGCGUUAUCCGGUUGCAGUGGGGGUACAGCGCGCGUAGGCGGCCUGUUAGUUCGGGGGUAAAAUACCGGGGCUCAACCCCGGUCCGCACCCGAUACCGGCAGGCUUGAGUCUGGUAGGGGAAGGCGGAAUUCCAAGUGUAGCGGUGGAAUGCGCAGAUAUUGGGAAGAACACCGGCGGCGAAGGCGGCCUUCUGGGCCACGACUGACGCUGAGGCGCGAAAGCUAGGGGAGCGAACAGGAUUAGAUACCCCUGUAGUC
Molecule: ribosomal RNA, 447 nt
Filed under: uncultured bacterium
Lineage: Bacteria
Description: partial 16S ribosomal RNA
Rfam family: Bacterial small subunit ribosomal RNA
Source: RNAcentral